AAUGAAGUGCCUGAAUAUAAGGAAUAUCAUGAUAGGAUAUAAUAUGUUAGUUUUACUUACCUUCAUUA
RNAcentral lists this transfer RNA (68 nucleotides) under Amazonina sp. Z256E. RNAcentral describes it as "tRNA-Ile". Lineage: Eukaryota; Metazoa; Arthropoda; Insecta; Blattodea; Pseudophyllodromiidae. The record is from RNAcentral.